UUAGGGAUUGUUUGGUAGAUAUGGUGUGCUAGAGGAGAGGUUCCCCAAGGGGUAAUGGUCAAGGUGGAGCUGAACAAGCAACUAUACAGCCUUCGGAUGCUGGAGGGUAGAGAAGUAGUCGGGGUGCAUUCAGCAGUUCAACUAGAGCAUGGAUUUGCGGAGCCUUGGGAUGAUGAACAUGGCUGAUCCACAUAGUGUCGCAGUUGGCUCAGAGGA
Molecule: long non-coding RNA, 216 nt
Filed under: Elaeis guineensis (African oil palm)
Lineage: Eukaryota; Viridiplantae; Streptophyta; Magnoliopsida; Arecales; Arecaceae
Description: long non-coding RNA (EGUI_LNC010269)
Source: RNAcentral